UGUCUUCCAAAUAAAGACCCGUAUGAACGGCUAAAUGAGGACUCAACUGUCUCUUCUGGCCAAUCGAUGAACCUGAUCUUUCAGUACAAAAGCUGAAAUACAACCAUAAGACGAGAAGACCCUGUGGAGCUUAAGUUAAACUGUCAAUCCACCCCAUAUGACACCACACUUAAGUUGGGGCAACUUUGAAAAAACAAAACUUUCAAGACAUUAACCGACAACCAGGCUAACAAGCCUACCUGCCAACUAAAACGACCCAGUAAGACUGACCAACGAACCAAGUUACCCCAGGGAUAACAGCGCAAUCCUCUUCAAGAGUCCAUAUCGCCAAGAGGGCUUACGACCUCGAUGUUGGAUCAGGACACCCCAGUGGUGCAGCCGCCACUAACGGUUCGUUUGUUCAACGAUUAACAGU
This 415-nucleotide ribosomal RNA is filed under the name Hemitheconyx caudicinctus (African fat-tailed gecko). RNAcentral's name for it is "partial 16S rRNA". It matches the Rfam family "Bacterial large subunit ribosomal RNA", at positions 1970 to 2594 of the family's 2925-position model. Lineage: Eukaryota; Metazoa; Chordata; Lepidosauria; Squamata; Eublepharidae. The record is from RNAcentral.